Molecule: long non-coding RNA, 784 nt
Filed under: Homo sapiens (human)
Lineage: Eukaryota; Metazoa; Chordata; Mammalia; Primates; Hominidae
Description: non-protein coding lnc-PPEF1-3:1
Source: RNAcentral
AUAUAUGGAGAUCAUCCCAUUCCACAGUAUGAGGUGAACCCACGGACCACAGAGAUUUUACAUCACCUUUCAGAACGCAACAGGGUCCAGAACAGGGAUGUCUACCUGGUAAUAGAGGACUUGAAGCAGAAAGCAAGUGAAUACCAGUCAGAAGCCAAGUAUCUCCAAGACCUUCUCAUGGAGAGUGUGAAUUUUUUCCCCUGCCAAUCUCUCUAGCACUGGUUCCAGGUAUCUGAAUGCUUUGGUUGGCAGUGCGGUGGCCCUUGAAACGAAGGAUGCCUCACUAACUAGUUUUAUCCCUGUAGUGAAUGAUUUGACCUCUUACCUCUUUCGUACCAAAUCCAAAAGUGAAGAAAUCAAGAUUGAACUGGAAAAUUUUGAAAAAAAAUCUAACUGCAACUUUAGUAUUAGAAAAAUGUCUACAAGAGGAUCUCAAGAAAGCAGAGUUGCAUCUGUCUACAGAAAGGGCCAAAGUUGAUAAUCGUCAUCAGAACAUGGACUUUCUAAAACCAAAGUCAGUGGAAUUCAGAUUUGGAAUCAAGGCUGCAGAGGGAGCAACUUUCAGCCAGAGGCAUGGAUGCUUCUCUGUCUCAUCAGUCCCUAGUAGCACUGUCAGAGAAACUGGCAAAAUUAAAACAACAGACUAUACCUUUGAAGAAAAAAUUGGAGUCCUAGUUAGAUUUAAUGCCGAAUCCAUCCUUGCUCAAGUGAAAAUUGAAGAAGCAGAGUGAGAAUUAGAUAGCAUUGAAGCUGAACUUACAAGAAGAGUAGACAUGAUGGAACU